Molecule: ribosomal RNA, 455 nt
Filed under: uncultured bacterium
Lineage: Bacteria
Description: SSU rRNA
Rfam family: Bacterial small subunit ribosomal RNA
Source: RNAcentral
AGAGCGAACGCUAGCGGCGGGCCUAACACAUGCAAGUCGAGCGCAUACCUUCGGGUAUGAGCGGCGGACGGGUGAGUAACACGUAGGUAAUCUGCCCUGUGGUGGGGGAUAACUCGGGGGAAACCCGUGCUAAUACCGCAUAUGGCCUUCGGGUCAAAGCCUUCGGGCGCCAGAGGAUGAGCCUGCGUCGCAUUACCUAGUUGGUGGGGUAAAAGCCUACCAAGGGGACGAUGCGUAGCUGGUCUGAGAGGAUGAUCAGCCACACUGGGACUGAGACACGGCCCAGACUCCUACGGGAGGCAGCAGUGGGGAAUAUUGCGCAAUGGGGCGAAAGCCUGACGCAGCUACGCCGCGUGGGUGAUGAAGGCCUUCGGGUUGUAAAGCUCUGGUCGGGAGGGACGAAGUUCUGACGGUACCUCCCAAGAAAGCACCGGCUAACUCGCGCCAGCAGCCGC